This is a long non-coding RNA of Astyanax mexicanus (Mexican tetra), 459 nucleotides long. RefSeq lists it as uncharacterized. NCBI's taxonomy places the organism in Eukaryota, Metazoa, Chordata, Actinopteri, Characiformes, Acestrorhamphidae. The transcript has 2 exons. The record is from RefSeq and is a predicted model, not a curated record.
GCUAUGAAGCUAUGAAGCUAUGAAGCUAUGAAGCUAUGAAGCUAUGAAGCUAUGAAGCUAUGAAGCUAUGAAGCUAUGAAGCUAUGAAGCUAUGAAGCUAUGAAGCUAUGAAGCUAUGAAGCUAUGAAGCUCUCCAUCCAAGAUUCGUAAUGAGAAAACGGCUAUCGUUUAGCUAAUGCUACAGCGAAGUGAACCGAGGUCCCAGCGCAGCUGCAGAGAUCGGACGGGCGCUCUUUUCGGCGCAACACCAGUGAAAUCCGGCCAUAUGUUCACAGCAAAUUACAGCCAGCUGAUUAAAGUAAUAGACCGCUGAAUUUGUGUCCUCGUUUUGUAGUGUGUGCCAUGCCAAUUGUUUAUGCCCAUAUUUGAGGUUCAGACCUGUGGGAAAUUUGAAUGGGCUUUUCAAAAACUGACCUUUACCAUUCUGUGGCAAAUAAAUAUGUUCCGAAUCCUGUACGU